Molecule: long non-coding RNA, 620 nt
Organism: Bubalus bubalis (water buffalo)
Lineage: Eukaryota; Metazoa; Chordata; Mammalia; Artiodactyla; Bovidae
Exons: 3
Source: RefSeq, a predicted model, not a curated record
AGAUAAGUGGAAAUCCCACAGGUGGGACUGAUCCUCUCCAGAAAGAUAGGAGGGCCGGAAUCUUGCCAAAGAGGUAGGGAGAGAGCUGACCAGGUAGCCAGUCACCGCCAGGGAGGUCCCUUAGGCCGUCGGUCAAGGACACAGAGAUAAGUGGAAAUCCUACAGGUGGGACUCAUCUUCUCCAGAAGGAUAGGAGGGCCCAGACCUUGCCGAGGAGGCAGGGAGAGCUGACUAGGUAGCCAGUCACCGCCAGGGAGGUCCCCCGGGCCGUCGGUCAAGGACACAGCAUGGAAAGGACGAAUAAAAACACCUAACAAGGCAACACAGAGAACAUUCUGCAAAGAUCAAUUUACCUUAGCAAUCAGCGAUGUCAUCAUGUGUCUCAUAGAAAAAAGAUAAUUCUGGGACUUCCCUGGUGGCUGUGUGGUUAAGAAUGCGCUUGCCAGUGCAGGGGACAUGGGUUCGAUCCCUAAUCCGGGAAGAUCCUACAUGUCACAGAGCAACUCAACCUGUGUACCACAGCUACUGAGCCUGUGCUCUUAGAGACUGCAAAGCACAACUGCUGAGCCCAUACGCUGCCACUGCUAAAGCCUGAAGGCCUGUGCUCCGCAACAAGAAAA